RNAcentral lists this transfer RNA (71 nucleotides) under Heterocephalus glaber (naked mole-rat). It matches the Rfam family "tRNA". Rfam says of the family: Transfer RNA (tRNA) molecules are approximately 80 nucleotides in length. The record is from Rfam by way of RNAcentral. Lineage: Eukaryota; Metazoa; Chordata; Mammalia; Rodentia; Bathyergidae.
GUGAGUGUAGCUCAGUGGUAGAACACUUGCCUUGCAUGCACAAGCCCUGGGUUAAAUCCCUAGCACAAGCA